UACGGAGGGUGCGAGCGUUGUCCGGAAUCAUUGGGCGUAAAGGGCGCGUAGGUGGCUGUGUAAGUCUGCUGUCAAAGAGCGAAGCUCAACUUCGUAAAGGCAGUGGAAACUACACGGCUAGAGUGCGUUCGGGGCAGAGGGAAUUCCUGGUGUAGCGGUGAAAUACGUAGAUAUCGAGAGGAACACCUGCGGCGAAGGCGGGUUGCUGGGCCGACACUGACGCUGAUGCGCGAAAGCCAGGGGAGCGAACGGG
Molecule: ribosomal RNA, 253 nt
Filed under: uncultured bacterium
Lineage: Bacteria
Description: partial 16S ribosomal RNA
Rfam family: Bacterial small subunit ribosomal RNA
Source: RNAcentral